RNAcentral lists this long non-coding RNA (5483 nucleotides) under Sus scrofa (pig). Its description in RNAcentral is "lncRNA (ENSSSCG00030024943.1)". Lineage: Eukaryota; Metazoa; Chordata; Mammalia; Artiodactyla; Suidae. The record is from RNAcentral.
AUGUUUCAGUUGUACAACAUAAUGAUUCAAUAUAUUUAUACAUUAUGCACCAUACAGAGUUAUUACAAUAUUAGUGACUAUAGUCCCUGUGCUAUACAUUACAUCCCUAUGACUUAUUUAUUUUGUAAUUGGUAGUUUUUUAAUCGCAAUAUAUAUCCCAAGGUAGAUAGACAGAAAACUCAAAUUUUUCUUCAUUCAGAUGGAGACUGUACCAUUUUAGAUUGUAAAGUUUUUGCAGUUUAAAAAAAGUUAACAGUUUAUCUCUCUACAUUAGUGUCUACUUUUGUAAUAAGAUUUAGCAUAAAAUAUGCUCUUGAAAAACAUAAAUGUCAGUGAAACAUUGGGAAAAAAUCAUAGAAUCUCCCAAAGACCUCUCUGUCAAGAUUUGUUUUCCGGGAGUUCCUGUCAUGGCUCAGCGGAAAUGAAUCUGACUAGUAUCCUUGAGGAAGCAGGUUCGAUCAGUGGGUCGCAGACACGGCUUGGAUCCCAUGUUGUUGUGGUUGUGGUGUAGGCUAGCAGCUAUAGCUCCAAUUCGAUCCCUAGCCUGGAAACCUCCAUAUGCCAUGGGUAUGGCCCUAAAAAGACAAAAGACCAAAAAAAAAAAAAAAAUUCUCAGAGGUUUAUCUGGAAUUUACCAUAUGAAUUUGAAAAGGUAUGUAUGAAAUUAAGGAGACUUUUAAAAUUUUUAAUUAUUCUAAUUCAUUAUAAAGCUCAAACUAGUAGUGAUAUUUCUAGUUUAUAUUCCCCAAUAUUCAAUCCAAAAUGUGGCUGUUGCAUCUAUAGAAGUUCAUCUGUAUAUUUAAUCUGCAAUUUGGCCAUCGAAAGAAUAGAAGCUCUUCUUGAAAGAGAAGAUGAGUCAAGUUUGCAGUAAUACCGUUUUUACAGGUAACGUUAAUGUUUUCUACUUUGAAAAGAGGUUAUUACCCUUAAUUUGUCAAAAACUAAAUUUUACAAGCAAGUACUUUAAAACCAUUAUACAAAUUGGAGUUCCUCUAAAUGAAUUCUUUUUCUUUUUCAGGAUGGCUAAAAUCUGAAGAGUAUGACAUAUUGUAUAUUCAAACUUUAAUUCUAUUUCUGAGUGUAUUUUCUGUCAAAUUUCAUAAUAAAGUCUGCUCAGCAAAGCCUGUUUGUGUUUUCUAUACCACUACUUACUAUAUAUGUGUCUCUCUAUAUAAAGAAUCUUUUUCUUCCAUUAGGAGGAUAUACAAUGAUCUUUGUAGAGAUAACUUGCUGUUUGCUUCCUAACGUAAAGAAAACCAGUCCAAAUUAAAGUUACACUACUGAAAUAAUAUUUGUCAGCUAUUGUUUGAACAGACUAUUAACGUGGCAGUUUAUUUUCUGUCAUUACUUACCUGUUUAUUUGCUGGGGUUGCCAUAGGAAAAUAAGGAAAAUUUUUCCUUCUAAGGUCUCUCUCCUUGGCUUGCAAAUGGCUACCUUCUUGCCAUGUCCUCACCUUGUCUGUCUUCUAGGCACAGGCCUAGAGAGACACUCUUCUGGGCACAUCCUUGGUGUUUCUGUGUGUCCAGAUUUCUUCCUCUUACAUGUGCCAAUCAGAUUGGAUUAGGGCCCCCACUAAAUGGCCUCAUUUCAACCUAAAUCACCUCUUUGAAUCCCUGUCUCCAAAGAGGUCACAUUCAGAGGUCCUGGGGGUAGGGGCUUCAGUGUACAAGUUUGGGGGAACAAUUCAGCCCAUAAAAUUUAUUAUGUUGACCUUAUGUAAUACCUUCUAUUCUCUAGAAAAUGCUUUGAGGUAUUUUUAAUUUUGGAGAUGUCUUAAACAUUAAAUUUUAUGAGUCUGUGGAAAAUAGAGAUAGGAAAAAUAUUGGAAGACAAAAGCUCUAGGAGUUCAAGAAUUAAAAGAACUUAUCAUAGCCAGAUCUUUGCCAGACAGGUAUUAAUAUCUCUUCAAAAUUCCUCCUUCAUUUUAGGCAAGGGAUGUGUGUUCUAUAUUUCCAGAAGUUCUCUUUUUGAUUAAUAAGCCUAUAUUUGUCUUCUUUUUCUCUUUAUUUCAAUUUGUGAAGAAGUUCAACUUCUUACUAAAAAUCCCAGUGACAAUUUUUGUUGGUUUUUUUUUUUGUUUUAGUUUGGUUUUUUGGUCGUUUUUGGCCACACUGCGGCAUAUGCAGCUACCGAGCCAGGGAUCAGAGCAGAGCCACAGCUGCAGCAACGCUGGAUCCCUAACCCACUGUGCUGGGCCAGGGAUCAAGCCUGCGUCCCUGCAGCUCCCAAGGCAUUGCCGGUCCAGUUGCCCCACAGCUGAUGCAGUUACGCCAUAGCAGGGGCUCCAGUUUUUGUUUAUUUGUAUUUUCAUUCAUUGUCGUGUCUACUGGACACACCUUAAGUGCUAGAUACAUACAUAGGUGUAAUAUUUUGCAAGAUAAAUUCUGUUCCCCAAAUUCAUAGAAUUUAUAUUCUAUCAUGGAAGAUAGAAAUUGACAUUAUUAGUUCAAAUGACUAUUAAAAUAAUGUGUGAUAAAGUUUCUAAUUCUUGGUCUCACUUCACCCCUUGGAUUUCUUGCUAUAUCUAUACUACAAGCUGAUUUUUGUCUUUUUUAAAAAAAUUCUGAUUGCUUUUAUUUAAUAUACAUGCAUUUGAACAUUAUUCUUGAAAAGAGUUGCAUUCGACCUCUGCAAGUGGCAAGAAAAAUAGUAUUGUCACUUUAUUCUUAUUAUUGAACCUCUCUCAAUAUAAACAAAGAUCAGUUUGCUUUUUUGGCAUCUUCAUACUGUCGUGAGAAGUCAUUUUACCUUUUGUUGGUACAUUGCUUAAUAUAAAACUCAUACCCUGAAAAACAGAAGUUAUAGUUCUAUUUUCCUUUAAGAAACUAUCCUUAGGGAGUUCUCUUGUGGCUCAGUGGGUUAAGGAUCCAGAGCUGUCACUUCUGUGGCUCUGGUUACAGCUAUGGUAUGAGUUCGAUCCCUGGCCCAGCAACUUCCACAUGUUGCAGGUGGGGGGAAGCAAGGUGGAACUAAAGGAAAAUUGCAAAACAUCUGUUUAAUUUCAGAGAAGCGAUAGGAAUCUCUGUAACUGAAAAACAUUUACAAAGAUCUUUGCAGUCACAAAGAACUAAAAAGCAUCAACAAUGAUGAAACUCAUCUUGGUAUAAUGAUCCAAGCAGUCUCCUUGCCUUGAGAUUUGCUCCCCUUGAACAUGCAUCUUUCCUUGGUAUUGAAAUUACCAUUGCAGACAUGAUUGGUGUGAUCAGGUAUGACUUCAUUAUUCUUGGCAAGCAAAUGCAGCUCUGUACUGCUCAUUCAGCCAGCCAGCUUGAUAUCCGCAUUCAGGUUUAUAAGAAGAGGAAGUAAAGACUCAGAUUAACAGCCUGCUAAGAUACAUCCCUGGCUCCAGUUUUCUUCAGAUUGAAGAAAAUUCUUUACUGUGAUUCCCGUUGUUUCUGCUGUGGACAAAGGCAUGGAAAAAGAGCUAGCUUAUACUUUCUAGUGACAAAGGAUUUAAGAGCAAAGAAGACACUAGGUACAGGGGAAAGAGUUGAAGAAUACACAGCUGAAGAACAGAAGAACAGUUUGUCCUCCAAGAGCUCAUUCAGAUCUCAUGUUUUCAGUUUGAAAGCCUCAGUAGAAGUUGAAUAACUUGCAAAGGAUGAGCAGAAGUUUCUUUUUUAGUGUGACAAAAUCAGCCAGCAAGGGAAUUUGUUGAGGAGUGCUUCUGAGACACCCAAGAAUUAAAAGUCCAUGCUUCAGAAAAUGCUGGAUAUGGUCUGCAACUGCUUUCUCACAAAAUCAUACCCAGAGUAGAGUGAGUGUAUAAGCCAGGAGGACUGACGAGAGGUUCUUCAGAGAUCUGCCUCCUCUGCACCUGCCACCAAGAGGUUGACCAAACAGACCUGAAAACAAGGAUAUUCCUCAGAAGUAGCCACAAAGAUUGAAAGAUAAAAAAGCAUUUAGCCUGAAUUUCAACAUGAGAUCUUACGUUGGAAACUUCACCUCUCAUAGAAAACUACAGUAAAACUAGCUGAAGUACGAGGCUCUUACUUCCAGGCAUUGAGCAGUCCAAGAGUUAAAAAAAAAAAUGAGGUGAGCCGCACAGUCUCUCCAGCUCUCUGCUGGAGAAUACUUUGCUGUUGCAGUGCAGAGUGAGUAUACCCAGCCAGACUGGCAGUCUCACUAAACUACAGAGGCAGAAAUUGGAGUUCUGGGCUGCUGAAGUGACUGGAAUUUGUGAGGCAGAGCAUUAGAAAGGAAGGAACUCUGCAAGGGAAAUUCCCAGGAAUCUGUGGAGAUCCAGUGCUGGAUCGGAGGUCGGGGCUGGUCCUCCCCUGAGCUGAUCAAGACUCCACUAGGCCUAGUGGCAACCACGUGCUGUGGGGCUGAGAGCUUCCCAGCAAUAGCAGAGGUCAUGUGAUGCUAGGAACAGAUCAAGUGAGACCUUGCUGAGCACCUCAGUCAUUCUGCUGAUGUCCCAGAAAGGCCACUUCUUAGCGUGAAAGCCAUACCUAGAACAAAGUUCUAACUGAAGUGGACCCAUUUUAACAAGGAAUGAAACCAAGCCUCAUAAAACAAAAAGGAUCCACCAGUAAUUUGUUCUGCAUGGCAAAACAAAACUUACACCUGUUAAGGUUGACAAUAAUUUAAUCCAGAUGCCAACAUAUUACCCACUGUUUCCACGUUCAGUCACAAGUUCCUAGGUAUGUGAGAUAAAGAUUCAAAAUGAAAAGAAAAUAUAAUCCAUAAUGAAGAAUUUUUAAAAUCAGUAGAAACAACCUCAAGAUGGCCUCGAUGUUGAAAUUAGCAGCCAAGGAUUUUAAAGUGGCUGUUUUAACAUGUUCAAGUACUGAAGGGAAAAUGGUUGUAGUGAAUGAACAGAUGGAGAAUAUCAGCAAAGAAAAUUAAAACUGUAUAAUAACUAAAAUGAAAUGCUAGUACUGAAAAGUUCAGUAUCAGAAAUGAUGAAUUCAUUGGAUGGGUUUAGUAUCACUGGUUUGAGACUAUAGGGGAAGGGUUGUGAAACUUGAAGACAUAAAUACAAAUUAUACAAUAAGAACUGCCAAGAAAUGAAAUCUUUUCUCCCCUUCCACAUAAAAUGUAAAUUUCUCAGAUUAUUUCUCUUCUUUGUUAUGUUUAUAUAUUUAGUUUUUGAAGUAAACCUUGAAGUUGAGUAGUUGUGCAUGCCAUUCUAUACUAAUGUCCUAAAAAUUUUCUCCAUUUUCUUGUUUUAGUUCAUUGUAAUAUUACCAUAGAAUUAGGAUAAAGAAAUACUGAUUGGAGUUCCCAUCGUGGCGCAGUGGUUAAUGAAUCCGACUAGGAACCAUGAGGUUGCGGGUUCGGUCCCUGCCCUUGCUCAGUGGGUUAAUGAUCCGGCGGUGCCGUGAGCUGUGGAUUAGGUUGCAGACGCGGCUCGGAUCCCACGUUGCUGUGGCUCUGGUGUAGGCCAGCGGCUACAGCUCCGAUUGGACCCCUAGCCUGGGAACCUCCAUAUGCCGCAGGAGCGGCCCAAGAAAUAGCAAAAAGACAAAAAAAAAAA